AUGGCAGGAGGUACGCUUAACAUAAGCUUACACGACGAACUCGAUGCAGUCCUCCAUGUCAUAGGCCAGCUCACGGAUCUGCCUCACCUAGAAAAUCACCACAGGGUUUUCCAUGCACUUCCCAUUGGCCACCUUGAGGAAAGACUGCAUCCUCUAGAACUCGCUGGUGACGAACACCAGGUGAAGCUGCGCGCUAUCGUUCCAGAUGAUGCAGUCCUUCCUGAAGGUGGCCAAUGCAGAUAUUCCUCCAGCUUGGCCAAACCAACUGCUAGGUUCUCACCAGGGGUUCUCCAUGCGCUCCGCCUUGAUGAAGGCCUGCAUCAUCUGAAACUCGCCGGUGAUGAACACCACAUCACGCUGUAUGCUAUCGCACCGACGAGUUCGAGAUGA
This 390-nucleotide ribosomal RNA is filed under the name Triticum aestivum (bread wheat). RNAcentral's name for it is "partial small subunit ribosomal RNA". The record is from RNAcentral. Lineage: Eukaryota; Viridiplantae; Streptophyta; Magnoliopsida; Poales; Poaceae.